GGCCCUGCCUGACUCCCACAGGAUCUUUCUGAGGGCCAUGCUGGUGGAGGAACCCCAAGGGUCUGGCUGAAGAUAGUCUCCCUUCUGAGUUACCAUUCCACAGGUCCUGCUCUCACUGGAUAGAUUCUAAUAGGGGUUCUGAUCUUUGCAGUUUGUCUCCUAAGUGUCUGGAGUCUGUGGCACCUGGGAAAAGUCUAAUCAUGAUUAAAAUAUUUAUUCCUUAGCUGCUAGAAGGACAGAAAUUUCUGAGCCAAACUAGAGCUGCCGUGAGAAGGGAGUUCAGGGAAAAAAUUUUAAAGAUGAAAACCAGAAGAAGACCUGCAAUAUCUACUCAAGCAAGCAAACAGCGGUGGAUAGAGCUUCACAUUAUUUCUUGGAGAACAAUGUCCAGCAACACAAAUCCCUAACUUCAGUUCUCCCAUCUCCACCAGCAACAGCAACGGUCUUCCGAAGUAAAAACACAGCAAUGGGACCUGUCCCAUUAGCUGCUGCUCAUGUAUUCCCAGUCUCCUGCCCCUCACUAGGAGGGAAAGGGGAGGAGAGUCCCCAAAGGACACAACCCUGCAGUCCCAGCCUUCAGAGUCAGCAGAGUGAGGCUCUUUCAGGCUGAGGAAUUGGUGAGGGUCUAUGCUGAGAGUGCUGUUGUUCUGAGACAUCUUCAUCCUGUUUGAGAGCCCAAGACUCUGCCAUUGAAGAGCCAACUGAUAGAGAUCUUCAUGUGUUUUGAGAGGCAAAACAGGAACAUAGAGUCCAUUUCUUUCACUGUGGUGUCAGUGAUUUGGAUGGAGGGUGGAGUCCCCUGCUCUGUGGAUAAACAGUAGAGGGGACCAGCUGAGAGUCCUUCACCCUCAGAGAUCUCAGCCAGCUCACAGGGCCCACAGAAUUAAUGGGACUCUGUAAGAUUGAAUGUUUGGUUUUAAGGUAGGGUUUUUAAGAGGAGAUCUGAAUCUUCCUCCUACCCAGAUCACCCACAGUGACCCCUGACUCAGGGUAUUUGUGUAGAUUCCACACUAGGAGCCUCUUCAAAUCUCCUGUCCAGAAAUCUCAUGAAGGAGGAUAUGCUUCCCAUUGAUGUUUGUGAAAAUUCUUGUUCAUACAUUAUGAGAGUUUGAACAGUCAGGUCCCUCCUUUAUAAAAUAGCUCUCUGUUUCUUUUAAUUAAAUAAUUGCUAUGGGGUUAAGAUGGCUGUGGUGAUAUUUUAUUUGUGCUGAAAUGUGAUUUUAUUUAUAUGUUAAUAAAUAAAGUUGCCUGUGGGUCAGAGCUAAUAGCAAGCCAUAGCAGAAAUCUGGCAGUAGUAGCACAUGCCCUUAAUCCCCAUCACAUGACAGGCAAAUAUCUGUGUGUUCAAGGACACCACCAGCAUGGAGACACAUGUCUUUAAUCUCAAUACCAACCAUAGAAGACUUGGAGGUCUGUACAGACAGGCAGUGAUGAGGAGGUCAUGUGGUUGGGUUUACAACCAAUGAGAAGGCAGAACAGACAGUCAAUAAAAAGACAGACACACAGGAAGUAGGUCUCUUUCUGAGGGGAAGAACGGCAGCAGCUGGUAAGCUAAAGGCUAUUCGUUAGUGCUCUGACCUCUUGAGUUUUAACUCUGCAUUUAGCUCUGUUUCUUAUUUAAUAUGACCAUUUACAUCUACAGAUGGCACCAAUGGAAGCUUCAUCUUCUAAUCCAGUCCUUGAAGGCUGAGUAGAGGAUGGCCCUCUUCCCUGUCACUUAAGAUGCCUCUAAAUAUUGUGUGCAAUAUUUAGCAACCACGUGACAGCACAGGUGGCCUCAACAUCAAACAAAUCCACAUGUCCUAGUCAGGACUGUGAGCCAGAUGAAUGCUCAGACUGAUUAUGCAUAGAUUUAAGUCCUUUGAAAAUAUUUUAAUUUAUUUGAUGUGCAUGGGUCUUCAUGUGUGUGUCAAGGCACAUGCCUGAAACUCAGAGGUUGUUAACUCUCUACUUCCAGCACGUGGGUCCUGGGAAUCAAACUCAGGUGUUAGUUUUGGUGGCAGGUAUCUUUACCCCCGAGUCAUCUUGAUGGCCCCCAGUAAUCAUCAUCAUCAUCAUCAUCAUCAUC
Long non-coding RNA from Peromyscus eremicus (cactus mouse), 2068 nucleotides. RefSeq lists it as uncharacterized. The record is from RefSeq and is a predicted model, not a curated record. The transcript has 3 exons. NCBI's taxonomy places the organism in Eukaryota, Metazoa, Chordata, Mammalia, Rodentia, Cricetidae.